CCUCAACAAAACUCAAUUCCUGAUUUUUACUGUUUAUAUUAUAUGAAAAAUUUUUAUGAUUAGUAUUUUCAUUAUUGUUAGAUGAUAAAACAUGAAUAAUACUUUACACGUGACUUAUCUUUUUAAAUUUUUCAUAUUUUUUUAAAUAAAACGGACGGUCAAAUGUUGGACACGAAAACCCAGGAAUUGAGUUAUU
RNAcentral lists this microRNA precursor (196 nucleotides) under Oryza meridionalis. RNAcentral's name for it is "MIR812 microRNA precursor family". It matches the Rfam family "MIR812 microRNA precursor family", at positions 27 to 205 of the family's 205-position model. Lineage: Eukaryota; Viridiplantae; Streptophyta; Magnoliopsida; Poales; Poaceae. The record is from Rfam by way of RNAcentral.